Molecule: ribosomal RNA, 248 nt
Filed under: uncultured bacterium
Lineage: Bacteria
Description: partial small subunit ribosomal RNA
Rfam family: Bacterial small subunit ribosomal RNA
Source: RNAcentral
AGAAUCAACGCUGGCGGCGUGCCUAACACAUGCAAGUCGAACGAGAAAGUGGGAGCAAUCCCACGAGUAAAGUGGCGCACGGGUGAGUAACACGUGACUAACCUACCCUUGAGUGGGGGAUAACCUAGGGAAACCUGGGCUAAUACCGCAUAAUACCUACGGGUCAAAGGAGCAAUUCGCUUAAGGAGGGGGUCGCGGCAGAUUAGUUAGUUGGCGGGGUAAUGGCCCACCAAGACAGUGAUCUGUAU